RNAcentral lists this ribosomal RNA (253 nucleotides) under uncultured bacterium. RNAcentral's name for it is "partial 16S ribosomal RNA". It matches the Rfam family "Bacterial small subunit ribosomal RNA", at positions 524 to 776 of the family's 1533-position model. The record is from RNAcentral.
UACGAAGGGGGCUAGCGUUGUUCGGAAUCACUGGGCGUAAAGGGCGCGUAGGCGGCUUUGUAAGUCGGGGGUGAAAGCCUGUGGCUCAACCACAGAAUUGCCUUCGAUACUGCAUGGCUUGAGACCGGAAGAGGUAAGUGGAACUGCGAGUGUAGAGGUGAAAUUCGUAGAUAUUCGCAAGAACACCAGUGGCGAAGGCGGCUUACUGGUCCGGUUCUGACGCUGAGGCGCGAAAGCGUGGGGAGCAAACGGG